Molecule: small RNA, 734 nt
Filed under: Homo sapiens (human)
Lineage: Eukaryota; Metazoa; Chordata; Mammalia; Primates; Hominidae
Description: PPP1R3B divergent transcript (ENSG00000285236.3)
Source: RNAcentral
AAUUCCAAAGGCUAAGGAAAGCAUUGCGCAUGCGGGAAACCCACGCUGAGGGAAGAAUCAUGGGAAAGAGAGACGGGGUUCCACCGUGUUAGCCAGGAUGGUCUCGAUCUCCUGACCUCGUCAUCCUCCCGCCUUGGCCUCCCAAAGUGCUGGGAUUACAGGCUUGAGCCACCGCGCCCCGCUCUUUCGUGUUCCAAAGGCUUUUUAAAUAAACUUCCACUCCUGUCCUGGAUUCUGCUUUAUGGCCCUCAGUCGAAUUCUUUCUUCUGAGGAGGCAAGGACUGAAGUUGCUUCUGACCAGUACAGGAGAAAACGAAUACAGCAGGGAUGACUUCCACCAGCUCCACUUUGCAGCUCUGAGGUGUAUUAAAAAUGACCUGGAAGAAGUCAUGCCACGGGCCAGACCUUAACAUUCCUUUCGGCUUACCCCAGGAUUUCAGACGAAGCUUCACUUUCCUAACCAGUCACAAAUCAGAGAAUUUUUGAUUCCACCUAUGACCUGUGAGCUCCUGCUUCAAGAUAUUCCACCUUUUUUAGGCCAAACCAAUGUAUAACCUCCAAGUGUCGAUUUACACUUUCGACUGUAACUUCUGCUUUCCUGAGAUUUACCCCUGCCUUUAAAAACCCUUGCUUGUAAUCCCUCAGGGAGGCCGUGUAUUUAUUAAUCAUGAGCUGCCCAAUUCUCCUUGCUUGGUGCCCUGCAAAUAAACACCCUCUUUUCUCCCACUGCAAAA